Non-coding RNA from Solanum lycopersicum (tomato), 373 nucleotides. Lineage: Eukaryota; Viridiplantae; Streptophyta; Magnoliopsida; Solanales; Solanaceae. The record is from RefSeq and is a predicted model, not a curated record.
GGAUUAGCAGACUCCAAUGAAACAGGAACAGUUUCUCCAUCCAACCCCAACGAAUUACUGGAUGUGCCCCAAGUAACAGUUCCACGAGAAACUGAGGAUCAAGUUUACUUUGCUUGUCCUAAGCACUGCAAUGCUGAAUGCAGUUUUUCUCAGUUGUUAAGAGAUGAAUUGUUGGAAAAUGUGGAGGAGCUUAAGGUAGCAAUUCGUAGUCUUAAAGAAGAUAUUGAGAAGACACUGGAUAAGCUGGAUUCUAUUUCAUAUUGAGCAAGCUGUUGAUCAAGUUGUUAAUGUUCAUGUUCUAGUCUUAUUUUGCUGUUAAUCUUAUGGUUAUCCUUCUGUUUACUGUUUUAGUAAUGCAUUGAGUUUCGUAUGA